GAGGAAAAGAAACUAACAAGGAUUCCCCUAGUAACUGCGAGUGAAGCGGGAAAAGCUCAAAUUUAAAAUCUGGUAGUCUUUGGCUGCCCGAGUUGUAAUCUAGAGAAGCAUUAUCCGCGCUGGACCGUGUACAAGUGUCCUGGAAUGGACUAUCAUAGAGGGUGAGAAUCCCGUCUUUGACACGGACUCCCAGGGCUUUGUGAUGUGCUCUCAAAGAGUCGAGUUGUUUGGGAAUGCAGCUCUAAAUGGGUGGUAAAUUCCAUCUAAAGCUAAAUAUUGGCGAGAGACCGAUAGCGAACAAGUACCGUGAGGGAAAGAUGAAAAGAACUUUGGAAAGAGAGUUAAACAGUACGUGAAAUUGCUGAAAGGGAAACGCUUGAAGUCAGUCGCGUUGGCUGGGAAUCAACCUUGCUUCUUGCUUGGCUUACUUCCCAGUUGACGGGUCAGCAUCAGUUUUGACCAGUGGAUAAAGGUUAGGGGAAUGUGGCACCUCCGGGUGUGUUAUAGCCCUUGAUCAUAUACAUUGGUUGGGACUGA
RNAcentral lists this ribosomal RNA (537 nucleotides) under Termitomyces infundibuliformis. Its description in RNAcentral is "eukaryotic LSU rRNA". It matches the Rfam family "Eukaryotic large subunit ribosomal RNA", at positions 53 to 589 of the family's 3401-position model. Lineage: Eukaryota; Fungi; Basidiomycota; Agaricomycetes; Agaricales; Lyophyllaceae. The record is from RNAcentral. RNAcentral also lists the same sequence under 1 other name.